This 482-nucleotide ribosomal RNA is filed under the name uncultured bacterium. Its description in RNAcentral is "partial 16S ribosomal RNA". It matches the Rfam family "Bacterial small subunit ribosomal RNA", at positions 30 to 507 of the family's 1533-position model. The record is from RNAcentral.
AUUGAACGCUGGCGGCAUGCCUUACACAUGCCAGUCGAACGGUAACAGGUCUUCGGAUGCUGACGAGUGGCGCACGGGUGAGUAAUACAUCGGAACGUGCCCGAUCGUGGGGGAUAACGAGGCGAAAGCUUUGCUAAUACCGCAUACGAUCUACGGAUGAAAGCGGGGGAUCUUCGGACCUCGCGCGGACGGAGCGGCCGAUGGCAGAUUAGGUAGUUGGUGGGAUAAAAGCUUACCAAGCCGACGAUCUGUAGCUGGUCUGAGAGGAUGAUCAGCCACACUGGGACUGAGACACGGCCCAGACUCCUACGGGAGGCAGCAGUGGGGAAUUUUGGACAAUGGGCGAAAGCCUGAUCCAGCCAUGCCGCGUGCAGGAUGAAGGCCUUUGGGUUGUAAACUGCUUUUGUACGGAACGAAAAGCCUCUUUCUAAUAAAGAGGGGUCAUGACGGUACCGUAAGAAUAAGCACCGGCUAACUACGUG